RNAcentral lists this ribosomal RNA (403 nucleotides) under uncultured bacterium. RNAcentral's name for it is "bacterial SSU rRNA". It matches the Rfam family "Bacterial small subunit ribosomal RNA", at positions 29 to 414 of the family's 1533-position model. The record is from RNAcentral.
AACGAACGCUGGCGGCGUGCCUAACACAUGCAAGUCGAGCGAGAAAAGGGGGGCAACUCCCUGAGUAAAGCGGCGAACGGGUGAGUAACACGUAGGUGAUCUACCUCCGAGACCAGGAUAACCCGCCGAAAGGCGAGCUAAUACCGGAUAUGACCACGGGCGUUUCGGCGCCUGCGGUGAAAGGUGGCCUCUGCUUGCACGCUACCACUCGAAGAUGAGCCUGCGCGCCAUAGCUAGUUGGCGGGGUAACGGCCCACCAAGGCGAUGAUGGCUAGCUGGUCUGAGAGGAUGGCCAGCCACACUGGAACUGAAACACGGUCCAGACUCCUACGGGAGGCAGCAGUGGGGGAUAUUGCGCAAUGGGCGAAAGCCUGACGCAGCGACGCCGCGUGGGUGAUGAAGG